AUGAUUAAAGGUAUUUUCCGGUAGACGAUGGGGAUGCGUUCCAUUAGAUAGUAGGCGGGGUAACGGCCCACCUAGUCAACGAUGGAUAGGGGUUCUGAGAGGAAGGUCCCCCACAUUGGAACUGAGACACGGUCCAAACUCCUACGGGAGGCAGCAGUGAGGAAUAUUGGUCAAUGGGCGAUGGCCUGAACCAGCCAAGUAGCGUGAAGGAUGACUGCCCUAUGGGUUGUAAACUUCUUUUAUAAAGGAAUAAAGUCGGGUAUGCAUACCCGUUUGCAUGUACUUUAUGAAUAAGGAUCGGCUAACUCCGUGCCAGCAGCCGCGGUAAUACGGAGGAUCCGAGCGUUAUCCGGAUUUAUUGGGUUUAAAGGGAGCGUAGAUGGAUGUUUAAGUCAGUUGUGAAAGUUUGCGGCUCAACCGUAAAAUUGCAGUUGAUACUGGAUGUCUUGAGUGCAGUUGAGGCAGGCGGAAUUCGUGGUGUAGCGGUGAAAUGCUUAGAUAUCACGAAGAACUCCGAUUGCGAAGGCAGCCUG
This 533-nucleotide ribosomal RNA is filed under the name uncultured Bacteroidales bacterium. Its description in RNAcentral is "bacterial SSU rRNA". It matches the Rfam family "Bacterial small subunit ribosomal RNA", at positions 197 to 728 of the family's 1533-position model. The record is from RNAcentral. Lineage: Bacteria; Pseudomonadati; Bacteroidota; Bacteroidia; Bacteroidales.